Molecule: long non-coding RNA, 436 nt
Organism: Daphnia pulicaria
Lineage: Eukaryota; Metazoa; Arthropoda; Branchiopoda; Diplostraca; Daphniidae
Exons: 2
Source: RefSeq, a predicted model, not a curated record
CUUGGGGAUUUCGUCUGAACUUGUGAUGUGUCAUGAGUGAUGCUGCGUGGUGGCUUCUUGGUGAAAUUUGGCAGGGAGAUAUUACGAGAAAAUGUGAAAGGUGUCCUACUGUCAACUAUUGUGUUGUAAAUCCUGGGAUCCUAAAAGGACAAUGACUAUGCAGUCAACAAGGUCCUUUGUUUGGUAACCUGUUGGCUGCUACCCUUGAAUAUCCCUUUUUACUUCCUAAAACAGGCCCUCUGUCUCUAAAAUCUAAUUUAAAAUUAUUGCCAUCCUAAUAAAUGUUCAUUCUGCCAACAGGGUAACUCCUUCACUACUUAUCAUGGACUUCAUCCAUUGGUGAAAACUGAUAAGAGAAAGCUGUAAUUCAAAACUGAUAGUUGUUAGAUGUCUAAGCCGGAAGCCUACUAUGGUUAUCGCUCUCGUAAUAACUGUU